UACGUAGGGUGCGAGCGUUUGUCCGGAAUUAUUGGGCGUAAAGGGCUCGUAGGCGGUUUGUCGCGUCGGGAGUGAAAUCCACUGGCUUAACUGGUGGCUUGCUUUGAUACGGGCAGACUGGAGGUAUGCAGGGGAGAACGGAAUUCCUGGUGUAGCGGUGAAAUGCGCAGAUAUCAGGAGGAACACCGGUGGCGAAGGCGGUUCUCUGGGCAUGUCCUGACGCUGAGGAGCGAAAGUGUGGGGAGCGAACAGG
This 253-nucleotide ribosomal RNA is filed under the name uncultured bacterium. Its description in RNAcentral is "partial 16S ribosomal RNA". It matches the Rfam family "Bacterial small subunit ribosomal RNA", at positions 524 to 776 of the family's 1533-position model. The record is from RNAcentral.